Molecule: long non-coding RNA, 729 nt
Organism: Carassius carassius (crucian carp)
Lineage: Eukaryota; Metazoa; Chordata; Actinopteri; Cypriniformes; Cyprinidae
Exons: 5
Source: RefSeq, a predicted model, not a curated record
CGCCACCUAUGGGGUUGCCCAAUUAUAUUUAACAAAGAGGAACUCUCAGACUGGGAGGAAAAGAAAGAAGUAAAACAAAACAAAAAAUUAUAUGACUUAUAUUUUUGGUAACACCAUUGCUUUAAAUAUAGUAGGAAAACACUUAUUAUUAUUAUUAUUAUUAUUAUGUUUAAUGCAAAGUUAACGCAGUGUGUCAUUAUAUCAUUGUACAUUAAAAAAAUUUUUAAAAUAUGAAAAUAAUUAUUUUUCUUAAAACUUUCAUUCUUACUCGCGUGCCAAGCCCACGAAACCGGGCAGCGGGCUUAUAUAAGCCGGGGUCUGUGCCCACCACGCGCACAGCCUGACUCCACUUUGAGUGACAUCCCCAGCAGUGCGUUUUCCUGAGUGUUGAUUGCCGUCUUAUUGUUCAGCUACAUACACCACAACGGCUCUUUUAAGAGCCACAUCUUGAGAACGUCUUUGACUUUAAAGUUCUCUACAGUCAACCACACUCGCUCAACAACUAUAUCCACAGUUCACACUUGAUCAAAACCAAGGUUGUUCCAGCUAAAAUAAACAAAACAACAACAAAAAGAACAUGUACCUGAUAGUGGAGUUCGUCGGUGAAGGGAGUACCGGUCCUGUAGCAAAUUCCUGGUACUCAGAUGGCCACUCAUGGUGGCCUCCAUACAAAGACUUGGACCGGUUACUAAAGAGCGUCAGGUUGAUGGAGGCACCACAGCCAGAUAA